GAUGAACGCUGGCGGCGUGCCUAAUACAUGCAAGUCGAGCGAACAGACGAGAGUGCUUGCACUCUCUGACGUUAGCGGCGGACGGGUGAGUAACACGUGGGUAACCUACCUAUAAGACUGGGACAACUUCGGGAAACCGGAGCUAAUACCGGAUAAUAUUUAGCUUCGCAUGAAGCAAUAGUGAAAGACGGUUCUGCUGUCACUUAUCGUUGGACCCGCGGUGUAUUAGCUAGUUGGUGAGGUAACGGCUCACCAAGGCAACGAUACAUAGCCGACCCGAGAGGGUGAUACGCCACACGGGGACUGAGACACGGCCCAGACUCCUACGGGAGGCAGCAGUAGGGAAUCUUCCGCAAGGGACGAAAGUCUGACGGAGCAAUGCCGCGGGAGGGAAGAAGGUGUUCGGAUCGUAAAACUCUGUUGUAAGGGAAGAACAAGUACGUUAGUAACUGAACGUACCUUGACGGUACCUUACCAGAAAGCCACGGCUAACUACGUG
Molecule: ribosomal RNA, 499 nt
Filed under: uncultured bacterium
Lineage: Bacteria
Description: partial 16S ribosomal RNA
Rfam family: Bacterial small subunit ribosomal RNA
Source: RNAcentral